GAAAACCAUACACUUCUCCAGCAUACUGUUACUACUACUUAAAAAGUAUCUUAGCCAUUUCUUUUUUUAACUUUUAACUUUUAAAUUCAGGGGUACAAGCUCAGGAUUUUUACUUAGGUAAACAUGUCAUGGGGGUUUGUUGUACAGAUUAUUUCAUCACCCAGGUAUUAACCCUAGUACCCAUUAGUUGUUUGUUUCCCAAUCCUCUCCCUCCUCCCAUCCUCCACCCUCUGAAAGGUCCCAGUGUGUGUUGUUCCCCUCUGUGUGUCCAUGUGUUCUCAUCAUUUAGCUCGCACUUAUAAAUGACAACAUGCAGUAUUUGGUUUUCUGUUCCUGCGUUAGUUUGCUAAGGAUAAUGGCCAUUAUCUUAGCCAUUUGAAAAUAAUGAUUUAACCUCUCUCACCUUCAUUGUCAUUUUAGAAGAAACUACCAUUUGGUGUCCUGCUGAGACAAGAAAAUAUUUUCACAACUCAAGACAAGUUAAAUAUCCACUUAUGGGAACAGUGCUGAAGGCCUGGACUAGGAUGGUAGCAAUGGAGACAGACUAAAGAAAGAGAUGCAAUCAUUCCCUUGCAUAUGGUCCGUAUGAAGACGGGAUCAUUACAGGAAAGGUGAAGGAGAUACAGUCAUUAUGCUCUAUAUACACCCAUUUUUAUGGCUAGCGGCUGAAGAUGGGAUGCUUUCUUUGCUGGAAGACCUAUUACCUGUUAGGUUGCAAAAGAUGUGAUCAUCUUCCUAAACAAUAAUUUAGAGUCCCAUAACAAUUUUAAGUGUGCUGUUCAUGAAAAUUUGAAUACAUUGUAUUGGGAAUAUAAUGGAAGUGAGAUGCCUCAUGUCGUGAGAAAAUCUGACAUAAACUCCUUAAGCAUGAGAGGCCAUGUGGGUAUGGAAGCCCUGAAAGGGAGGAAAAAACAGCCAGACCCUAGCUGUUCCAGUCAUCCCAACUGAGGUGCCAGACUUGUGAUUGAGGCCAUCUUGCAUCAUCUAGGCCUAGUAGAGCUGCCAACUGACUGCAGACACAUGAGUCAAUCCAGCUAAUGCCACAUGGAGCAGAGACAAGCCGCCCAGCUGAGCCCAGUCCAGAUGACAGAAUCAUGAGCAAAUAAGGUUGUUGUUCUUUUAAGCCACUAAAUUUUCGGGUGAUUUGUUACACAGUAAUAAAUAACUGAAACAACUAUGUACAGUUUAAUGAUCUGAAAUCAAUCCAUAGUGUUAUGAUAGCCUUUUUAACAAAAUUGAAAUGAUAACUUAUUCAUUUACAAUGCAAAUCAAUUUAAUGGCAAUAGUUACAACUGCCCUGAAAUGAUCUAAAGCCUCAUGAAGUUGAUUUAAUAUCUAGCUACCCAACAUACUUAAUCACAUGUUCACAGUUGAUGAAUAGUGACUGAAUCUCCAUGAGCAAGAUAAUAGUAAAGCUCUUUUUUUCUCUUUCUCUUUUUUUCCAGAUGAAUAAUUUUACAUUUACACUGAUAAAAAGUUAAAGUUGCAGCUCUGUUUUCACACUACCUGAGGGAUCUUUGUAGAUUACAUAAACCCUAAGCCUCCUGUGUUCCAUAUGGAGAGGACUGAUGAAGCCAGCAUUAGGCGUGAUGGGGACGUGCAUAAAUGUGUAUGUUAUCCACUGAGACACAGAUUCUGAAGCACCAGAACAUUAAAGGCACUUCUACUUGUUUCUUCUACCCAGCUGAAAGGACAGAAAGCUUCUUCCACAGAGCCAGGACAGUCCAGGGGAACGUAGUCCUUCGACUGAAAGCUAUGCUUCCUAUUUUCUAACAAAGAGGCUAGGUCAUGUUGACCACCCAGUUUUGGCCUGCCUGGCUUGCUUUUUAUUCCAGCCUGGAGGACUUUCAGGGUUGAAUAUCCACUCAAGCCAAAUCCCAAGAAGCAUAACCUGCUAUUAGACUCUUGUCACUUAUCGGGUGAGGGGCUGUGCGGCUGUUCCAGUGCUUCCCCACUUGGGUCUUGUGACAUACCCUGGGGCCAAGCCAAGCCCUGGAGGUUAGCUUCUACAGUCUGUCCUUAAAGAGAGCUCAGGGAUGUCUGGACAGGACCUGGAGACAGUGCCCUGGGCCAGAGACCUCUGAUCUCUAGGCCAGCAGAGUCACCAUGCAGACAGAUUUAUGAGCCUUAGGCAAAACAGCUGGCAUUCCUGUGGCCAUCUUUCUACCCCUUCCUUUCCACAUGACCAUAUCCUUGGCCAGAUCUUCAUGUCCUUAGAUGGCUGUUGCCUUUGGGUAAAUUGGCAAUUAAGAUAAAUGAGCAUAUUUAUCAUGGCCUUGUGGUUACCCCUCCUGAAGCUCUCAGGGUGGCAAGCUGCCUGACCCUCCUACUAUGAACUUAGUAACUUUAAAACAGAGAGUAUCUUUUCUUGCCCAGCUGAAAUUUCCUCCCCAGGCGACCUACUUUUAGGAUUAAUAUGCGGGAAAGUCUGCAGUUUUGUUUUCAGUGAGGGUAGUUGUGUUUUCAAGGAAAGAGGUAGCGCCUUACAGUCAGAUUAGCCAGCUUUAUUUCUUUCAUCAACCCUUUACUGGCUUUCUAAAUUUUUUCAAGUAACUUCACCUCUCUGAGUUUCAUUUACCUCAUUACCUUCAUCAGGUAAGAUGACAUAUGAAAAGCCCUUCUCAAGCAACUGCAAAGUUCCAAUUAAUAGAAGAAAUUGUAAUGACUAUCUGUGUUUGAAGCGGGGCCAUUUUUCUUAUUUGGAAUUUUCACGUAUUAAAAAUAUGGAUCCUUUACACCUGUAUGCCUUUACUCUCCAAAUUGAUUCAUUCUCUAGUUCCUCUAUCUCAUUACUAAGUUCAAAUAAUCAUCUUCCUACAAAUCACUCAGUUUAGAUGCCUUGAAGGCUUCUUUGAAUACUUGCUCCUGUUCACACCCGACAGUCAGUCAUCAAGCCCUGUGGAACUUGUCCCUGGUCAACAUCCGUUCUUCUCCAUUCCUACUGCCGUUCACCACACGCAGGCCCUCAUUGUCCCCUCCUGGGAUCUAUAUCCUCUCCUCAGCACCUUUUUCUUCUCUAUUGAUACCAUAGACAACUUCUCAUCUCAUAUUCUCUAAACUCAACUUUCAGGAUAUCAUACUCUUAUUCCAUAGAUCAGAACUUUCAAUGACUUUCUCCUUCUUUACAGCUCUUCAUAACAACUCUGAAGAUAGAUUCAGUCCUUCUUUUUGGAAUUGCCUCUUAUUUCUUUUUCUUUUUAUGCCCAUCAUAAACCUCCCAUUGGCAAAAUUACCAUGAACAUUUUCUUGUGAAUUCAUUGCCUUGGUUCAUUGGUUCAUGGACGGGCACCACCAUGAGCCAAUUAGAAUCUUUCCCUGAGAAUCUAGAAUCAUGGUUAAGAAGGUAUAGAUCUGCCUGAUGCUUUGUUGAAUGAAGAAAAUAUAAUGUCCCAAGGGUGGCAGCCAUUUUUCUGCCCUAUGAACUUCAAAAUGCAGAAAAUCUAUCUGGAAUGUGAAAGAAGAAGGAUAUCAAUGUAAAAACAAGAACAAUAUAGAUAAGUAGAGAGAGAAGAGAGAGUGACUCCCCAUUCUGCUUUUUUCUGAGGCCUUAAUUUUUUUUUAUUUGUCAUUGGUCUGCUAAGAUAAGUUAUCCCCCCCGCUUUUUUUUUUUUAGGAGACGACUCACUCUGUUGCCAGGCUGGAAUGCAAUGCCACAAUCUCGGCUCACCACAAUCUCCACUUCCAGGGUUUAAGCGAUUCCCUUGCUUCAGCCUCCUGAGUAGCUGGGACUGCAGGCAUGCACCACCAUGUCCAGCUAAUUUUUUGUAUUUUUAGUAGAGAUGGAGUUUCACCAUGUUGGCCAGGAUGGUCUCCAUCUCUUGACCUCGUGAUCUUCCUGCCUCAGCCUCCCAAAGUGCUGGGAUUACAGGUGUGAGCCACCAUGCCUGGGCACCCUUUUUAAUUUAACAACCUGGAGUUAGAUUUCUAUAUUUGUGACACUGGGAGUCCUACUUGUUUUAGGACCUACAUACCAACUGUCAUUUACUGAAAUGAUAUUUAGCCAUACAUUUUUUCCCAUCUGAUUAUAAAACAAAAAUCACAAAUCUAGAGAAGUUUGCUCCAAUAUUCUAAAAUGCUUGGAACAUACAUAAUAAUAUAAUUGAAACUCCCUUCCCUCUUGGCUUUUCUGACCUUGAACUCUCCUCUUUUCUGACUCCUCAGCCCAGCACCACCCCUUCCUUUCCCUUCUUUGCCUCUCCUUUUUCUACUCAUCUUCCAAAAGUAAGUAAUGUUCUGCAAACUGACCUUGGACUUAUUCUCUUGUCUAUUUGCAAGUUCUCCCUUAGUGUCUCAUCAUUUCCUGGCUUCAACUAUUAUUUUCAGGUAACCAUCUCCUCAUCUUUACAUCCUAACUUCUUUUACUGCCCCAUUCUAACACUACCAACUCUUCGCUAGACAUACCCACUUGGAUUCUCCUCCUGCUUCUCAAUCUGAAAAUGCCUAAAUCAGUGGUUUUCAACUGGGGGUGAUUUUGUUCCCCAGGGACAUUUGACAAUUCUGGAGACAUUUUCUUAUUAUCACAACUGGGGUUGGAGAUCCUCCUAGCAUCCAGUGAGUAGAGGCCAGUGAUGUUGCUAACCAUCGUAAAAGAACAGAAGAGCCUCUUACAACAAAGAAUUAUCUGGCCAACAGUUCUGAAGCUGAGAAGCUCUGCUCUGAAACAAAUCUCACCAUGCCCUCCCUGUAUUUCCUCUAUGGCCUAAAUCUGAUCAUUUUCCUGUGUCCUCUUGCCUGUUAGUGACACCUUCAACCUCUAAAUCACCCAGACCAUAAAUUUCAGUAGGUCUUGUUCAACUAUUUGUCAAGGAUGAUUUAUAAAGUAUGCUUACAGUGGGAAAAAAAUAAAGUAAAUAUUACUUCUAAAAUACUUUCUAUAUCUAGGAGUGUUUGAUUGUAUCAAUCUUAAAUAUAAAUAUUAUAAAAUUAGACAAGAAUACAUUUAAACAUAUAAGAAAAUAAAACAUUUAAUUUCAAAUACCUUAUCUAUCAAAUAGAUUCUGGUUAAAGCAACUAAUCUUCUACUCUUUAGAAAAACAAACUUAUUGGGACCACUCAUAUAUUGCUGCAAUUUUCCUGCACAUUAAAUUAAGGGGAGCAUGGUACAACUUCUGAUGAGGAUGGCAAGCCUGUCUAGUACUCUAACAUUGGAAUAUGGGCUUUAUAAGCUUCUUAUAUGUGUUUUGAAAGGGCAACCCAAAGAAAAUGCAAAGAAAAAGGGGAUGGUCAACAGAUAAAGUUUUUAUCAAUUUCUCUGGGGAAGAAAGUAGCUUCCUAUGAAGCUAAUUCCCUGCAUAGCAUUUAUUCCUGUCUGAUGUUUGUUUAUUGUUAAUUUACCUGUUUGUUUUUUGUUGCUUUCCACUAGAAUGCAAGACCCACGAAUUCAGGGGACUUAUAUACUUUGUUAGCUGUUACAUCUCCAGAUUUAAACCUAUGCUUUUUAUUAGGCAUUCUAUUUGUUGACCAAAGGAAUGGAUUAAUGAAUACAUGCUUGAAUAAGUAUGUGACUUAUAUGAGGUCCAGUGAGUGUCCACAUGACAAGAGCUUCUGCUCAGGGUCCAGAUCUAUCUAAAGAUAGUGGAAAGGGCAUGGGACUUGACUCAAUAAUUCAUCUAAAGCUGUUACUUUUACAGUUAGAUGUUUCAGAAUUCAAAUUUCAGGUUUUCCCUGUUAGGUAUGUGACUUUGAGAGAAUUAUUUAUCAUUCAUUCAUUUAUUUAGGCAGUAGUCAUUGCUUGAGUUCCUAAUUUAUGCCAGGUCCUAGGCUAGACUCUGGAAAUUAGUGGCAGAGAUGGCCAACAGAAACCUGUCCUCAAGGAACUCCCUACUAAUUGGAGAGACAGCCAUUAAAUGUAUUCAUAAGGGAAUGCAUUGCUUUGAAGGGGAGAAAUCACAGGAUAGUAUGGGAUUACAUAUAGGGGAUAUGGGAGGAGCUACGUAUGUCUGGUGGGUUUUCUGUAUCUAUGCUUAUUAAUCUAUAAAAUAAAGGUCAUACAAACUUCCUCAGUGGUGUUUUUGUAAAGAUAAACUAUGAAAUGAUCUGGAGCCCAUAUUGGUUGCAGGAAAGCGACUUAGUAAAUAUUGGAUCCAUUCUUUCUUAUUCCCGCUGAGCACAGGAGCAGCUUUGGGAACUGCAACCUGGGGCUGGUGCGACCCAAGCACAUAGCAAUGAAACUCAUCUAGGCCUUUUCUUCCUUCUAGAAUAGUGACAACAGAUGUGAGAAGCCUAAUCAGCUGAUUGCUCCAUAAAAUCAUAAGGGCUGCAGGUCUGCUCCACAUGGUUGAAUCGAAGGCUUCUCAAUUCUGCCACUUUCAUUUUUUGGUCCCUCUUCCUGAAAUUACUUAAGUUUUCUACUCUUACCUGAAAUGCUCACAGUUGGGUGUGAUGAGUCCUUGUAUAUGCAAUCUAUCUGGCUUUCUAGAGGUCAUAGAGGUCAUAGCAGGCUCUAGAUUAUUCCUUUAGUCACAUCUUCUUGACCUGGCAAGCUAAGGAUUAGCUCGUGAGCCCUCUUUAAGAGGAGGGGCUCAUCUGGGUUCACCGAGAUUGCAGGAGGCAAAGUGCUGUAGGGCACCACCUCAUUCUAGUGCUACGCAUUGUAACUGGCUGACCUCUCAGAGACCACACUGCGGCCGUGGAAAUCUGCCUUUUGUAAGAUGCCCUGAGAAACUGGAGAAUAUUAGAGAGGAAUGAAUAUAAAAGCAGUAAACACAACAAGCCUUUGUUGAACUUAGUAAUUGCCAUCACUGGGUUAGAUGAGCAAGGAGAAGGUUUAUGAAGCUGUGUAGGCAUGGUUUUAAUCAUAUGAGGCCAGAUCGAUUAGGCCUGGCAUCUCAGUCUGAACAGAUGAAAGGGGGUGUGAUAAAACCCACAUUUGUAGGAGGUACCUCAUUGGGAUGGUCAAAUCUUUCUUACGUGCCCUAUGAACAUGGGCAAGUUACUUACCCCCUCUACAUCUCAGCUUCCUUACUUGUGAAAUAAAGAUGGUAAUAGCUAUCACGUAGGGAACAGAGAUCACGUGCCAACACUGUGCCUAGAACCUCACCUGCAUCAGCAUGUAUCACACUCCUAAUCAUCCUGUGAGGUAGGCAGAUUAGGUGUCUAUGUUUUACAGAUAAGCAAAUUGAGUGUCUAAAUGGCUAAAUAACUCUUCCAAAGUUACACAAACGGUAAACUGAAGAGUUAGGAUAGGAGUCUGGCUAAUAUAAUGCCAAAUCCAUUCUAUAAAUUACUGAAUCAUAAUGAUCUUAUAGAGUCCAUGUGAUGAUUUAAUGAGAUGUUAAAUGUAAAUAGCUGCUCAGAAGUAAUUUUUAGCUGCUAUUGUUGUGGUUAUUUUCAUUAGCAUCACCAUCACAAUCAGAUAAUUGUGGAAAGUUUCUUACUUAGAUUCAGAAGUACAGAUUAUACAACAGCAUUAAGUGUAGAAUAAAGGAAAGGAGAUCCUAUUCAUCAGCAAGGAUGUAGCGAAGGAAAGUUUAAAAUAUUGACUGUACAAGGUCCAACUUCUCUGAUGGGCUUGGGCCCACAAUUCACCUAAGCUGAGAUUUUUUCAUGAUAGGAAGCUGCUGCUAAUUAUUUGCAUACAGUGCAGCACAAGAACCUGCCCCUGAAGUCAUGUCACUCUAGUAUUUAGCAGCUUCUUUAUGGGAAAGAUAUUUUAUAUUAAUACCUUGGGAAAAGUAGUUACAGCACAUCUCUCAGAGAUAAAAUACCAAAGCAACACUCACUUCCAUCUUGCAUAAGUUAUUGCAACAAUGAUGCUGUGUAACAAACAAACACAAAACACAAUGGCAUACCACAAUAAGUGUUUAUUGUUCAUGUGUCUGAAGUGAUCAGCUAAAUAAAUCUGGCAUUCUUGGAUUUAUGCGUCUGAGGAUUGGUUGUCUGCCUAUCUAGGCUAGCCUCCUUUGAGAUAUCUGGAAUGGCUUGGGUCUGUGUCUCAUCCUUCUCCUGGAACUAGCAGGCUAGUCUAGGCAGAUCCUUGCUGAUGACAAAGGCUCAAGAAAGCAAGCAGGCAUGUGUAAGACCACUUGAGGAAGUAGAAAUCCAACAGUUCUACUUCCUUCACUUAGCUAAAGGAAGUUACAUGGGCAAACCCAAAAGCAAGAGAUAGAGUUGACCUGUUGACUUUAAGGAACUUUGGUGAAAGGAACUGCAAAGUCAUACAGAAAAAAAGAGUGGUUAUAGGAAUAAGUGAAAAAUCAAAUAAUGUCAUUAUCUGCCCAUAUCUUUUCUUAAAAACGGAAUCCAUAUGUGUUUGAAUUUUAUUAAAGGAGCCCCACCCAUAUCAUUAGUCUAGUUUUAUCUCCAAGAUAAAUAUAUAACACAUUCAGCAAAUGGGUUGAAGUCAGGGUCAGGUUUGUUCCUGUUUAUUGUCUCACCCAAGAUGAGCACCAAGGAGUUCAGUUGUUCUCACAUGUCUGUGUGUUGCUGGGCCUUGUUUCUUUAACAAUUAAUUCGUUAUGAGAACAGAGCUUAAUCCACCCUCUUUACUCUCACAAUGUGUGUGUGGGUGUGGAUGUGGGUGGGUGUGCGUGUGUUAACUAGCCUGUGAAAGACUGACUUUUUCCUAGAGUCAUCAGCCUUGAGGGUGACUCUGAGAGGUCCUCGGUUUAUACUGGAGGUAGUAGAGUGAAGUGGUUGAUUAUACAGGCUCGGAAAUGAAACCAGCCAGGAUUCAAAUCUCAACUCUUAUGUCUUAAAUAUGAGAUAUGUACUUAGUUACUGUAAUUUCAUGGAUUUUAAGCUUCUUUAUAAAAAGAGUAAAACUUCUAAUUCAGAGAGAUGUUGUAGGACUAAACAAGAUAUUAUGUUUUGAAAGCCUUUUGCAGUGUUUGCAAAACAUAUAGUAAACUGUCUUGUUCGGUCUUGUUAAUACCGAAUAUUUUAAAGCAUAUGAUUUUAAUAAUAAAUGAGUG
This 8912-nucleotide long non-coding RNA is filed under the name Homo sapiens (human). RNAcentral describes it as "HSALNT0267177". Lineage: Eukaryota; Metazoa; Chordata; Mammalia; Primates; Hominidae. The record is from RNAcentral.